Molecule: ribosomal RNA, 182 nt
Filed under: Nitrososphaerota archaeon
Lineage: Archaea; Thermoproteati; Nitrososphaerota
Description: partial 23S ribosomal RNA
Rfam family: Archaeal large subunit ribosomal RNA
Source: RNAcentral
AAGCGGGAAGCCACUCCCGAGAAGAGUGAGCCUUACGCCUCAACCCCUGGCGCAAGCCGGGGGAGCGGGCGUUGGAGGGGGGCGAUAGAAGAUCGCGUUGAAGGACCAGCGGUGUACGCAAGAAGCUCGCAAGAGCGACUUGUUCAGCCGGUCUGGCACCUAUACCCCAACGCAGGAUGAGU